AGUGGAUGGGGAGCAACCUAGUUGUGCGUGUGUAAAGGUAGUGCCAAGAAAAGCGGUGAUCAUGAUGAAAAUCAAUUCCCGGUACCCGAAACCGACACAGGUGGGCAAGUAGAGAAUACUAAGGGGCGCGAGGUAACUCUCUCCAAGGAACUCGGCAAAAUGACCCCGUAACUUAGGGAGAAGGGGUGCCACCGAGAGGUGGUCGCAGUGAAGAGGCCCAGGCGACUGUUUAGCAAAAACAUAGGUCUCUGCAAACUCGAAAGAGGAGGUAUAGGGGCUGACGCCUGCCCAGUGCCGGAAGGUUAAAGAAGUUGGUCAGUCUUAGGAUGAAGCUAGCGACUGAAGCCCCGGUGAACGGCGGCCGUAACUAUAACGGUCCUAAGGUAGCGAAAUUCCUUGUCGGGUAAGUUCCGUCCCGCACGAAAGGCGUAACGAUCUGGGCGCUGUCUCGGAGAGAGGCUCGGCGAAAUAGGAUUGUCUGUGAAGAUACGGACUACCUGCAUUUGGACAGAAAGACCCUAUGAAGCUUUACUAUAGCUUGGAAUUGUGUUCGGGCUUCCUGUGCGCAGGAUAGGUGGGAGGCGUAGAAGAUAUUCUUGUGGGGAUACUGGAGCCAACGGUGAGAUACCACUCUCAGGAGGCUAGAAUUCUAACUUAAUUAAGGACAGUUGCAGGUGGGUAGUUUGACUGGGGCGGUCGCCUCCAAAAAGGUAACGGAGGCGUACAAAGGUUCCCUCAGACUGGUUGGAAAUCAGUCGAAGAGUGCAAAGGCAGAAGGGAGCUUGACUGCGAGAAGUACAGUUCGAGCAGGGUGGAAACACGGUCUUAGUGAUCCGACGGUGCUGUGUGGAAGGGCCGUCGUUCAACGGAUAAAAGUUACUCUAGGAUAACAGGCUGAUCUCCCCCAAGAGUUCACAUCGACGGGGAGGUUUGGCACCUCGAUGUCGGCUCAUCGCAACCUGGGGCGGAAGUACGUCCCAAGGGUUGGGCUGUUCGCCCAUUAAAGCGGUACGUGAGCUGGGUUCAGAACGUCGUGAGACAGUUCGGUCCAUAUCCGAUGUAGGCGUGAGAAUAUUGAGAGGAGCCUUCCUUAGUACGAGAGGACCGGGAAGGACGCACCGCUGGUGUACCUGUUAUGAUGCCAAUUGUAAACGCAGGGUAGCCAAGUGCGGAGAGGAUAACCGCUGAAAGCAUCUAAGUGGGAAGCCCACCUCAAGAUGAGUAUUCUGGUGUAAGGUCACGGGAAGACGACCCGUAAAUAGGCACGAGGUGGAAGUGCAGAGAUGUAUGAAGCCGAAGUGUACUAAUAGACCGUCGGCUUGAC
This 1324-nucleotide ribosomal RNA is filed under the name metagenome. Its description in RNAcentral is "bacterial LSU rRNA". It matches the Rfam family "Bacterial large subunit ribosomal RNA", at positions 1561 to 2925 of the family's 2925-position model. The record is from RNAcentral.